GGGCCCGCACAAGCGGUGGAGUAUGUGGUUUAAUUCGAUGCAACGCGAAGAACCUUACCAGGGUUUGACAUCCUGCGAAUCUCUUGGAAACAGGAGAGUGCCUUCGGGAACGCAGUGACAGGUGGUGCAUGGCUGUCGUCAGCUCGUGUCGUGAGAUGUUGGGUUAAGUCCCGCAACGAGCGCAACCCACGUCUUUAGUUGCCAGCACGUUAUGGUGGGAACUCACAGGAGACUGCCCGUGGAAAGCGGGAGGAAGGUGGGGAUGACGUCAAGUCAUCAUGCCCCUUACGUCCUGGGCUACACACAUGCUACAAUGGAUGGUACAAAGGGUCGCGAAACCGCGAGGUGGAGCCAAUCUCAAAAAACCAUCCUCAGUUCGGAUUGUAGUCUGCAACUCGACUACAUGAAGUCGGAAUUGCUAGUAAACGU
RNAcentral lists this ribosomal RNA (429 nucleotides) under uncultured bacterium. Its description in RNAcentral is "bacterial SSU rRNA". It matches the Rfam family "Bacterial small subunit ribosomal RNA", at positions 917 to 1345 of the family's 1533-position model. The record is from RNAcentral.